Siniperca chuatsi (mandarin fish) is the source of this 2417-nucleotide non-coding RNA. The record is from the annotation of a RefSeq genome assembly. NCBI's taxonomy places the organism in Eukaryota, Metazoa, Chordata, Actinopteri, Centrarchiformes, Sinipercidae.
CCUAAUCCACAAGAUGUUCCUUCAGUUAUAUAUACAGCCUUUAUUUAAUCAGGUCGUCUCACUGAGAUCAGACCGACUUGAGUACAGCAGGUAGAGAGAAACACAAGCUAAAGGACAUACAGCAUCAGAGACAGUCGCAGAUUUUUUUCAAAAGCUUAAUUGCCUGACUGGUGGUGCUGCUGCGUUUCGAUAACACUUUCUUACCAGGAAAACGCUUGUUUGUGUCCAGGGAUUUCCCAUGAGAGUCAGAUAGCAGGACCACUUGUGGGGCUUCCUCUUCAGGCUGAGUGGAGCGAAGCUGGGAUGGGCAGAGCUGGCUGUGUGGAUGUAUCAGCAGGUGCCAGGGUGCAGAGCAGAGUGGGUGGGACAGAGACAAGGCAGGGAGAGUCUGUGUCUCAGUACUUGUCAUUGUGGUGACUGAUGAGAGUUGGUCUGUUAGGUGUUGAACUUGCCUGGUGAAGCUCCUUUCUCUAUUCUCAGCAUCCUCCUUCACUUUGGCUAACUGAGCACACUGUUCUUCUGUUUGAGUGCCUCUAGACUUCCUCUGAGGUCAGAUGCCAAGCCCUGGUUGUCUCUCUUUAGCUGCUGGAGCUCCUCUUUAAGCUGCUUUAGAGUGUUUCUGGGUGGUCAGACAGCCUGGCUUGGGUCAGCUCUUUGAAUUCAGCAAAGUCCAGCUUUUUUUCUUUCAUAUUAUAUCAUAAAAAUUACACUGAAAUCCACUGUAUGUGUCUAGAGUUGUGUACUUUUUUAUUAAACCACUAGGAUAGUUAUUCUUGAUAUAUCCCACUUUUUAACCAUCAGUAUGCGCUCGACAGCAGUGCAACAUACAAUGACGAACUGACCCUGAACAAACGAAAAACUUGGACUAAAUACACUUAGGUAGGGGCAACACUGAGACACAGGUUCAACUAAUCAGGGUGGGGCAAACAAUCAAAACUGGAGGGAAAAGCAAACAAAGACAUGAAGUAAAACAACAAGACACACGAGGAGAGGAGAACACUUCAAAAUAAAACAGGAAAUAACAGGAAAAAAGCCAAAACCAUGACACAUAGCUCUCCAUUAUAACGUCCUGUUAGGUUGACUGAAGUAGGCGGCACGCGAUCACUCCAUUUUGUGCAGAAGAAAAGUCAAAUGAUGCGUCAAACGCCCCCUUUUAUGUAAACGUGCACAGAGCCUGAUGAAGAAAACCUGGUUAACAAAGAAAGAUGAUCACCACCGUCGGGAUACCCGUUAUCUCUGAUUUGGGAUUUAGGUUUUGUCGAGCCAGCUAAAGCAAAGGAAGCCUGGCUCUGUCGAACUUGCUUUGUAGUACACCCCUCAGGUGUGAGCGUGAUUAUGAAAAUAAAGAGAUGUUUCGAUUGCUUCACUACCUACUGGCUCCCGUGGGUGAUUGGCUACCUUUGAAUAACGGCUCACCAGUGGAAGCUCACCAAUAGAGGGCACUAGGGCCACGUUGUUCAAAUAUUCAUUCUCAGUUAACUUGUAAUCUUUCUGAUGAGAAAUAUUAAAGGGGCCGUAGCAUGGUCACAACAAUUAGCAGCUUUUAUAUGUUAUGGAACAAAGUGACUCAAAGGAAAGGAAACAUGUCAGCUGACAUUUCCACUGACGCCUACAUACAAGACAUGUUAUACUAGGAAAGGAGAGUGUCAGUAAAAUGUGCUGAGUGUAAAGCUGUCAGUCGGGGAAUAACACAGGGCUGUGAAUGAACCCUGUCACUGUGAUCAGGCUCCUCCUUCUGAUCCACCAACUUAGUGUUGAUGAAGACUCAACAGAGAUCACAGCCUUCUUUAUACUCGCUGUAGCUCACAGUUACUCAACACUGCAGACAUGACGCCUCUGUUCAUCUCGGUGUUGCUGGCUGCUGUGUGCCUUGAAUGCAGAGCACAAAAAGACAACGUGCUGCAAGCAAAAGAAGAUGUGACUGCUACUGAAGGAGAGGCAGUAACACUUGGCUGUCAAUAUAACAGCAGUUCAACAAGUAAUAAUCUCUUCUGGUACAAACAGGAUGGAGACAACAGCCCCACAUUCAUACUGAGCCGCUUUAAACUGGACGAAGGCAACACACCAGACGAGUUUAAGGAGAGAUUUUCAUCCACACUGGAUUCCACCUUAAGAUCAGUUCCUCUGAAGAUCCAGAAGCUUCAGCUGUCUGACUCUGCUGUGUACUACUGUGCUGUGCAGCCCACAGUGACAGGAAACACCAAGACUCUGUACAAAAACCUUUGGAGCAAAGACAACAGAAUACUCCACAACGUCCACUAGAGGGAGUCACACACUGUUGAGCUUCAGUGGUUUGUGAUGAUACAGUCUAGAAUCACUUUACUCUCAGACAAGAUUGAGAUGGAAAGCUUUACAAAUCAAAUCACUCACAACUUGUUAACUCUGAACAUUUAAUUACAUUUCACCUGAGUAACCAU